RNA transcript from Ostrea edulis (European flat oyster), 4994 nucleotides. RefSeq lists it as uncharacterized. The transcript is spliced from 10 exons. The record is from RefSeq and is a predicted model, not a curated record. NCBI's taxonomy places the organism in Eukaryota, Metazoa, Mollusca, Bivalvia, Ostreida, Ostreidae.
AAAUAAAAAAAUUUGAUUUGGCUAGAAAAGAAAUUCAAAUUUGUCGCCUAAAUUUGAGUGUUGAAGUGUGUUCAAUGCUUGGUUUCGAAUUAAGUACCCGUCAAAUUUUAGGGAGAAAAGGGGUGUGGGUGUUGGGUAGCCAGCACAUAUGCACAUAUCAGGUAAAAGUGUAAUAAGACUUGUGCAGGUGUUUGGGGUGACUUUGGACCUGUUAGAUGUGAUAUUUGGAGGUGCAAAGAAACCGGAUGUGACAUUUUCCUAGAUUGUUUACUGCUCGUGCAUACUGGGAGUCUACAAGCCUCAUGUUGAUGUUGUGAAGAUGCACUGGAUUUUACCGUGUGUGUUGUGGAUUGUGGAAUUGAAUAUACAGUUUGUAAUUGCUCAUCCUAUGUGUUCUAAUUCACGGAGACAAUGUCUUUCAGUCAUUUCACCCAAGGAGGCAUGCAUACGGAUUUAGGCUUUGAAAAAACCCAGCCAAAAUGGCGGCCGGUGAAUUAGAAAGUGUCUGAGUGCAUGUAGGAUAUCUGAACGGAGAAUAGGAGUACUGCAUCCCAUCUGAUCCUGCAGGCCCGUGAUUUUAUAUACAGCAAGAUUACGACUGAAGUUCCACCAGUUGGAAACAAGUCCUCCAUCACAAACGAGGGAAUAUGUUGCACACAUCGAGCAGUCUCCAGUAUAGCACAGAACAGUGGCCUCAAGGACUUUAGUGUUUCAGGAGAUUCAGCUCAUCACUUCAAAGGGCUUUCACUCUGCUGUUCAGAUGACAAAUACAAUGUGACUUCAUAGGGAUGUGUAGUAUGGCUGUAGAAGUUGUUGUGCCAAGUUUCAUGAAAAUUAAAGAAGACAAGUGACAGUGGGUUUUUUUCCGAAGCCUGGUAGGAAGAAUUUGCCGCUUGACCAGGAUCAUUGUCUGGGUCAUCCGGUCAGUGGUUACCACCUGUACUUCAAGGUCACUCUCAGAGGAGUCCCCACAGCAUCCGUAUUCCAGGUGAUGUAUUGAAAUGCUUAAACCACAUGCCCAGGACUACAAAAGUGCUAUUAUUUAUGACUUGUGUGAUAUGAAGAGUAGAAAUGUCGGAGGAUAGAAGAAUUGUUCUCAGGUCAUCAUUACCUGCUGGUGGAGAUUAGGAGUGUCAGAGGAUAGAAGAAUUGUUCUCAGUUCAUCAUUACCUGCUGGUGGAGAGUAGAAGUGUCGGUGGAUAGAAGAAUUGUUCUCAGUUCAUCAUUACCUGCUGGUGGAGAUUAGGAGUGUCGGUGGAUAGAAGAAUUGUUCCCAGUUCAUCAUUACCUGCUGGUGGAGGCUGAACACUUUGAUAAACAUUACUGUUGUCUUGCUGAGAUGUAGCAAUCAGUGUGAGGUUUCAUUUACUGAAAGAAGAGUCGGAGAAGUAUUCGAUUUUCUCAUAUUGUUACAACUCCUACAGUUAUCUCCCUCAGACUAGAUAAAUCAUGUUUGUAAUUAUUAUUACAACCUAUCAUUAAACCCCCCCGCAACAAAUUGUGGGGGGUGGGGGUAUACUGGUAUCGGGUUGUCCGUCCGUCCGUCUGUAGACGCAAUGGUUUUCGGGCUCUAAUGCGUUAUCCUUUCCGCCUACCGUCACCAUAUCUUACAUAUGGACUACCCAUGGGAUGAAGAUGUUCCCUAUCGAUUUUGGGGUCAAAAGGUCAACGGCCAAGGGCACUGGACAUCAAAGUAGCAAUAUGGUUUCCGGGCUCUAAAGCAUUAUCCUUUCCACCUACAGUCACCAUAUCAUACAUAUGGACUACACAUGGGAUGAAGAUGUUCCCUAUCGAUUUUGGGGUCAAAAGGUCAAGCGCACUGGACAUCGAAGUAGCAACAUGGUUUCUUGGCUCUAAAGCGUUAUCCUUUCCACCUACAGUCACCAUAUCAUACAUAUGGACUACCCAUGGGAUGAAGAUGUUCCCUAUCGAUUUUGGGGUCAAAAGGUCAAAGGUCACGCAGACUGGACAUCAAAGUAGCAAUAUGGUUUCCAUUUAAAUUCAUUUAACGGCUUUUUUCAUUGCAUGGAGAUGCUGUGUUCCUAGAUACCUAUUGGAUCAUAAUACUGAAUUUUUACCUAUUACCAACACCCUUUGGGAGAUUGGGGUUAGCGGGGGGUAUUCUUAGUGAGCAUUGCUCACAGUACCUCUUGUUUGGAUCUAAUGCUGUCCGACGUAUUUCAUACCGAUUGUUAGGCCGUUCUUGGCACACUGAUUUUGACUAUGGAUAACUCCGUUUACCUGAUCAGGAUAUAGGACUCACGGCGGGUGUGACCGUCGACAGGGGAUGCAUUGUCUGUGUCCAUAGUUGAAUGUCGUCUAUUGACUGUUAACAAUUGACCAUUUUAACCUCUUCUUGAUAACUGACUUUCAUUUCUUUUCAAACUGAAUUUGAAGCAUCUUUGGAACAAGAGGGACACAAAUUCUAAAUUUUAGGACUUGUGACCUCCUAGGGGGGGGGGGGGGGAGGGGGGGGGGGCAAAAGCAACCAAAAAUUUACUGAUUUAAACGGAAUCUUCAUUACAGCCCCACAUUUAGUUACAAAAUUCAUGAUUCUGGGGAGAGGUGUUUUGGUAACAGGGUGGGACCAAAUUGGUUUUUGUUCACUUGGGCCAAAGGCUCAAGUGAAAUUUUCUGAUCUCAUUUUAUCAAUCAUACGUCUGUCUGACCAUCCGUAAACUUUUUUGUCUUCUUCUCCAAAACCACUGAGUCAGUUUCAACCAAACUUGGCACAAAGCCUCUUUGCCUGGAUUUAAGAUCAAACCAAGAAACAUGUCCACUUGAAGGUGGAAUAAUCAAGAAAAGCUUCCUGGGUCUCAGGAGAUGAUGACAGCCUGACCACAGGAACACUUCCUUCCUCCUACAAGCAGAAAGAGGCUGUCUUACCAUCUGAUUCAUUUCUGGAAAUAGUCUUCCAAAUAGAGUGGGUAAAAUUCUUCCUUUUCACUUAACUUAAGCUAUAUAUUUUUGAUAAAUCCGGUAUAAGCUGAUGUGAAAUUUAUUAUCUCUCCUUCCCAUCCACCCCUUUUUCUGUAAACUUUACGUAUUUCUUGUUUACUCAGGUGACCUAUAAUAAUUGGUCUGCGUCCUUUGUCGUGUGUUAAUAGUCGAAUAUUUUUAACUUUUUGAUAACUACCAUUCAAAUUCUUCUCAAAUUUUAUACCAAGCAUCUUUUGGACAAGGGGGACAUCAGUUGUAAAUUUCAGGAUUCCUGAACCACAGGACCCAAUUUCAACUUAGAACAGACCAUACUUGGAUGAAGGGAUCCAUGAUUGUUCAACUAUAGGGCUUCAACCCAUUCCAAAGGAGAUAGCAAAGAAAUGGCAAAAAUAGGAUUGAGUCGUUUUUGAAUCUUUUCAAGAAGCACUGUUUUACAUAGGGAUAUAUUGGGAAAUCUUUGAAAAUCUUUUCUCAAAAACAAAAAACAAAACAGUAGGACAAUAUAUGAUAUGCAAUCAUUCUAAAGUUGGUAGGGUAAAGUCACAAUAGGGGAUCAACAUUUAGGGCACUUGAAAUUAAUUAUUUGGUUCUCAGGCCAAUUUUCUCAAAACCAGAUGAGGGAGGGAGGCAUUUUGUUUUCAUUUCUAUUAGGCAUGAAAUAGGUGAUGGGGGCUUUUUUGAAAUCUGAAACUUGUUGGAAAAGAAACUUUAAACAUAAAAAGUUCUCUGAAACAUACACUUUGUUGUUCGGUGAUUAAAGCUUUAUACAUAAUUCAGACAUACAGAUUCAGCAAAUAUGGAUGUUUACAUGAAUCUUACAUUAAAUGUUCAUCCAAUACAAUUCUUUUGUGAAGUAAAUUAAAAUUCAAACUGUAACAAACUUGCAAAAACAUCACACGGGCCCUGUUUACAUAACUAAGAAUUGAGAGUGUUGUAUCUCAUUUAAAACUCAAGAAUUGACCAUCCAAAGUUUUACUGACCAUUAGAAAUACCCCAGUUAAACAUAAUAAAUAUUACAAAUGAAAAAAUAAGAUUAGAAAUUUUUAGUCCAAAUAUUGUUUAUGCCCCUUUAAGCAUAAUAUAGUGGUGUUAUUAAGUCAAUUUGUGAUUAAUGUGCGAAUAAAUUUUACAGGGUAUUGGUCACUGGAAGAGUCCCGCUGAUUGACGAGGAAUUGUCCUGAGACUGUGACAUAUUGUAGAGUAGCGGUCACCAGAGAUGUAAGGCUGAUUGAUGAGGGUACUUUUCCUGAGACUCUGUAAAAAUAUCAGAAUUUGGCGUGAAGUGAUUGGUUGUACAGAAAUUUCAAGUUCUCCCAGAUCCAGGGAAACAUGAGGACUAUGGAGUGUCGUGAUGUUAUUGAUGGUCAACAGAAGACUGUGACCUUGAAUCUGAAGAUAUGUGAUGAAGACUGGACGUUUGGGUCACUCUCUGUUACAGUACUACAAAUCUAACAGUGUCAAACUCAGCCACAAAGAGGUUGUCUCUGAUGUCCACACAUAAACCGAAUGGAUCUUCUAAAUCACAGUGAAUGUAACGGAGGAACUGUCCGUCCUGAUCUAGGAUGUGGAUACGGUGAUUGUCAGUGUCUGCUGUCAGGAUGUGACUCUGGCUGUCUGUAGUGAUGCCGGCUGGAUCAAAUGAUUGCUUGGUAUUAGAGGGAUGACCAGUGUAUCUAAAUCGGAGUUUUCCUGACUGAUUGACCACCACUACUGCACUAGCUAAACAGUCAGCCACACAGAUAUCCAGGUUCUUGUUCUCACUGAGGUAUUUACUGUCACCAGAUUUAUAGAGAGGACGCCCCUGAUCAUCAAACUGAAUGCUUUGUUUCUCUGUGGAGCCGGAGUAACGCACGACUUUGGAUUGUUUCCAAUCAUCACUGUCCAUGAUAACCAGGAGGUCGUUACCCGCGGUACAGCAGACAUAGAGAGGUCUCCACCCCUGUAGUCUGAUCACGAUUGAGUUGAGUGGAACAAUGAACCUCCAGAUAUCUAUGUACAUUUACACGUGUAUGAUUAAACUUCUGUUGCACUCGCGCAUGCGAGCUUAUCCUAUA